UACGAAGGGGGCUAGCGUUGUUCGGAAUUACUGGGCGUAAAGCGCGCGCAGGCGGCUAUCCAAGUCAGUGGUGAAAGCCCGGAGCUCAACUCCGGAACUGCCAUUGAAACUGUUUAGCUUGAGGAUGAGAGAGGUGAGUGGAAUUCCCAGUGUAGAGGUGAAAUUCGUAGAUAUUGGGAAGAACACCGGUGGCGAAGGCGGCUCACUGGCUCAUUACUGACGCUCGAGGCGCGAUAGCGUGGGGAUCAAACAGG
This 254-nucleotide ribosomal RNA is filed under the name uncultured bacterium. RNAcentral describes it as "partial 16S ribosomal RNA". It matches the Rfam family "Bacterial small subunit ribosomal RNA", at positions 524 to 776 of the family's 1533-position model. The record is from RNAcentral.